Herpailurus yagouaroundi (jaguarundi) is the source of this 5089-nucleotide long non-coding RNA. RefSeq lists it as uncharacterized. The transcript is spliced from 6 exons. Lineage: Eukaryota; Metazoa; Chordata; Mammalia; Carnivora; Felidae. The record is from RefSeq and is a predicted model, not a curated record.
AUAGAUGCUAAUCGACAGUUUCUAUCACAGAGAAGCCUUCUGGCCAACAAUAGGCUAUUAGUAGCUAUGUUUUUAGGGGAUCAAAAGUUGUACACGGAUUUUUGACUGCACAGGGCGAUCAGCACACCUGACCCCCCAUUGUUCAAGGGUCAGCUGUAAAAGAGAGCUAUGGAAAGCAGAGGAAAGAAUUGUAUCAGAACGCCAGGUUGAGGCUGGUUAUUAAAACUUAGCUCUGAGUUGCCUGGCUGCUUCUACUUUGAAAUAAAGAGAAGCCUUCUCAGCCUUUUGAGCAGAGGUUUCCUGUGGUGCAGGGGGUUUUGUAAGGCGGUUGAGUCUUGCACUCCUGGAUGGGGAAGAAAUAAGUUCAUUAAGGAAGCCAUUGCAGGAACCCAGGUAGGAAGUGUUAAAGGAUGAUGGCAGUGGAAAGGGAGUCAGGGAACAGAUAUGGAAGAGAAUUCAAAGGAGCUAAAGAGGACUUGACAAGAAAGAACUAUGGGGAUAAAGGAAAUGCAGAUGUCAGAUAUUACUGAAGCUUCACAUCCAAGCAAUUAUAGUAGUUGCUUCCUUCAGAUGUCUGCUACUAAAAUGCUGUGUAACAAACAAUGCCAUAAUCUCAGUGCAUUACAACAAUAGGCAUUUACUUAUUGCUUAUGGGCGUGCAGGGGGCUAUGACUCUCCUGGGUGAAUGAAACUAGCAAAGUGUGGCUCCAAGCUGCCAGUUGUAUUCAGGUCUGUUCCAAGUGUCUCCUCAUUCCGAGAGGCUAUCCAGGCAACUUCAUCUUGUGACAGGUGGCAGAAAUGCAAGAGACUAAGCCAAGCCAUGAAGGCAUAUUUAAAACCCCUGCUCACAUCACUUCCACUAAUUUCUAUUAGCCAAAGCAAGUCAUGUGGCUAAGUCCAAAGACAAUGGGGCACGGAACUAUCAGUCAACUCUUCUGGUGCUGGAAGUGUCACAUGAUGGGAGGAACAAAGACUAAGGACCAAUAACCCAAUCUGCCAUCACAACUAAAAUAAGAGUGAUACCCCGACAUGGAAAUUCGCAGUAGGGCAUUAGGUUUCUUACCACAAGGCACACCUGGGCUAUGACAGACAUCUGACCAGCCGAUGGGUUUUUUUCCCCCUGCAUUUUUCAUCUUUCCCUCAUCCCCUCACACACUACAGAUAGGGUCCUGCUGUCUGUCCUACAGUCACUCCUGAGAUCAGCCUUGCAACGGACAUUAGUGGCUCGGCCAUCAUAACAGCUAUCAAUAUUGGACCUGCUACUAGAAAUAAAAGACUAGAAGAAAAUAGGCCAAGAAGGUAUUACUAUGGUGGGACUCCUGGCUAUUUUAGGUCUUUGCGGAUUUUCCAGACCUUCUUCGAUGACCGUAUACAAAUUUUAUAAUUUCAAGAAUUCUUUUAAAUGAUUUUUGAAAAAAAAAUAUCUUGUCAUCGGCUCAAUUCUAUUGCCGUCCUUUGCCAGUAAAUAUCUAAAGAAAAAGUCUAUGUGAAGCAUUAGCACAGUGCACCUGCCAAGCCAGGCCUUCCUUGUAGGAACACACUCAUCAACUAACACAAGGGUAGUCAGUGUCAUUCUAAUACUAAUUUCUCAGACAUGGUUUGAGCAUUCUCCUCCCCCCCUAAAUUUGGGGGCGGUGGGCAGGGAGAUUUUUAGAUGGAAUCCAAAAGAGCCAACAGAGAGUUUCCUUUUUUUUGCCUCUCUUUCUUCCUUUAGUUGCUGUUUUGGCCAUCUCAGAACAAAGUCAGGCAGGAAGUCGGCACAAGAUACCUACCAGCUAUGGACUUUGUCAGUUUUCCAAAUGCUCUUCUGCCCCAGGGAUGCACAGACCCUCAGGCAAAACCACCCCUGCAAAGAAUGCUCUGCUGGGAUCACUUCCGCCAGCCAAAGCCCCAUUCUCUCAGGCACAGGGGAGCAGGUUUUGACUCAAAGGAGCCCUGGAGCCACUGACAUAAACCCUGCUGUGACCUUGCCCCCACCCACCACCCUCUCCUUUCUCAUAACUAACCUCCCAUAAGACUCCCAGAGCCAUUGACCUCCUCUUCCUCACUUCUCCGCAGGCAGCCUGGCUUAUUCCUCCCACCUCUCCCUCUAGGGAUCCUACCCUAUGGGUCAUCAACAAACUUCUUGUCAAGUUCAAAGGGCACUGGCCUUUGUACGUGAAAUCCUCAACUGUUCAUUCUUCAAACUUUUCUUCCCUUGGUUUCUAUGAAAUCAAGCCUCUCCUAGUUCUCCUGGUCUCUCUCUGAACAUUCAAGUUCUUGUUUCUUCCUCCUCGCAGCCUUUGCUUGUUGUCCGUGACGUCUCCCUCCGCCCACCGGUGUUCUCUCCCCCACACCCUCUCGGCACUGAUUCUUUCUUAGUGUCAGCCAUGAUUUCCAUGAUCUACAUGCCGAUAACUCCAGCCCAGACGUUUCCCCUCUGACUUCUAUUUCCUGGAGGUGCUGGUCCUCACAUGGGUGUCGCGAGGGCCUGAGAUCCGCCAGGUCCAGGGCUGAAUUCAUCUCCCCAUCAGGGCUCUUUGGCUGCAAGCAACAGGGACUGACCCUGAGUUGCCGGUGCACGGAAGAGACUAAUUGGAAGGAUUGCAAGAUGGUUCCUAGAAUCAAGGGAAUCACUGGACAGCCUGGCGUCUGGUAGCCUGAACAAGGCCACUGCCCAGAUUCAAGCUCCCGGGAGCAAAUUUGACACACCCAGCUCAGAUCAUGGCCCCACUCCUUGGGGUCUGUAAUCAAAAUAAAGUGGAAUGAGAGACGCAAAAGGUCUCAGACAAGACAGCAGCCACCAAGCCUUCCAAGUUUGUUUUUCUUCUGGACCAGAAGGGAGUCUCCCUCUCUCUCUGUCUCUCUCUGUCUCUCCCUCUCUCCCUCUCUCCCCCCUUCCCCCAACUCAGGUAUCUCAACACCAGUCAGUCAUUACAUUCUGAGAUUUUUAAAGUAGUUCUCCAAACGAUGGCCUUCUCCAUCCCUUGGACCUCUGACCUCCUUUGGAGUCUUAUGAUCUCUUGGCUUGAUGACUACUGGUGGCCUCCUAAAAAGUCUCUGCUCCCUCUCUUGUCCACCUCAAGUUUGUCCUCCACGUGAUAGCCAGAGUGAUCUAUCUAAAUCCAGAGCUAGCCACGUGACUUCCCUGUUUGAGUUCCUUAACCUAGAGGGUGAGCUAUGGGACUGGCAGCCCACAUUUCUUGUUACCAAAUAAAAUUCUGCGGGGACCUGGCCCCUACCCACAACCCCUUUGCUGCAACCUGGUUUUUGUCUGUUUGUCUGUCUGUCUGUUUUUGCUUCUGGCACUCCCUCUUCCUGCGUGGCUUUCUUCUCCCCCUACCACUGUACCCCAACCUGGCCGUUACCAGUUUACCUUUAAAAAUCGAAUGAGGCUUCACGUCCUCAAGGCUGCCCUCCCUAAGCCUUUCCUGACAUUUCAUGAGGGGUUGAGGAUCCCUCCUGAGUGUUUCCAUAAUGCCCUGAGCAUAUCUCUAUGAUCACCACACACAACCCACUGUUUGAGGAGUAUCUAUUCAGGUGCCUAUCUCUCCUACUAUCUACACAUUCUUGAAAAGCAGGGAUAAGACAAGGCAUACAUACAGUAGGUGCUUAAUAAACGGUGGGGUUUUUUUUUUUGAAUGGUCACUGACUUUGGUAAAUCAUGUAACAUCUUCUGGGUUUCAGCUUCCUCACUGCAAAAAGGAGAUAGGUCGACCUCUCCCGUGUUGUGCAAUUAAGUGAGAUGAUCUAAAUGGAACGCCUUGCAUGGUGCCUGGCACGUGAAACCGCGUUCCAAGAUCAGGGAGGCAAGUGUCAGAAGGAGAAAACGGCCAGCGUCUCGAGCUCAGAAGAGAACAAGCCCCUGCUAUUUCCUCCACGACGACGGCAACAGUUGCCCCGGCCGCGACGGAGCUGGCUUCCCCUGCCCUUGGGUACCACACGACGUCCCGCACCCCCGUCAUCUUUCUGUGGGAUUUCUCUCCACACGCUCCACGGAGGAGCCGGGUUCAGGUUACAUCGCAUCUUGUCAAUUCCACCAGACUGGCUGGCGUGCUUUCUUUCCCCGAGGCAAAAACAAAGUCUAGAUGAUGGAAACAGACCCGGAAGAGUCGGCAGGCAGCAAAAGGCAAGGCCUGGGAGGGAUGCUGGCCCAACCGUGCUAGGUUGGUUCCGAGGACUCGCUUCGGGACCCCUGCCUCAAAGAGCAAAGCGUAUUCUGGGAGAAGAAGCAGACAGCUUCCCGCACGUCACUAACCUUACGGAGCACCGCAGGGCAAAGACCGAGGAGACCAAAAUCUCUGGACACCCCAUGUUCUGGCUGGCGGCACACCAUCUGGUUAGCCAAGGACCUUCUUAAGCCAGGCCCCUGAAACUGAGCGUGGAACUUCCAGCAAGCUCUGGCCAAGCCGGGACCUGGCCUGAGGCCUGCAGACCCAGCACAGCCUCACACGUAGUUGAAGACCCGAGGAAUGGAUUCCACCAACAUCCAGAUGGGCAGUGAGGGGUGCCAAGAGGAAGCCACACUGCAUCUUUUGGCAAUCAGUAGACCCGGACAGAUCACUCUUCGUUGCAGGUUCAACAGGCAAGUUACGGGCUGAGGAGACGAUGUCUGUGGGCCUGCAACCAUCGGCGAGUUUGAGGAUGGCCGGCCUGAGGAAGAGGCCACCACGGCGAGCGGAGGGGACAGGUGGCGAGAACUGGGGUGUCCGGUGGCUCAGAAUGAGCCCCUCCGUCAGCCAACCUCCAUUCUACCCCAUCUCCGUUCCUUCGAUAUGUUAAAUAAUUGUGCAAGCCGGUGCAGUUGGGCCUUUUCUCUUACGACAACCAAAAGCGUCUUCCUGAUAAGUGUUCAUAUUCUGGCUGUUGGGAGGUCCCCUUUCUGGGCUUUAUGUAGAGAAUUUGCCCCCUUUCUUGGUUCUACCUUGAAGUGUGGUGGUUAAGGAAGUCUCUGGGUUCACAUUCCACCUCUGUUUUUAUAGGCUGUGUCCAUUUAGGCAAAUCACUUCAUCUUUUGAGGUCUCAUGUCCUCAUCUGUCAAAUGGGGGCCAUAAUAGUUUUCUGACUCUGGGGACAUGGGGAUUAAAUUAAAUGAGUUAAUGUAAGAGAA